UACGGGGGGGGCAAGCGUUGUUCGGAAUUACUGGGCGUAAAGGGCUCGUAGGUGGCCGACUAAGUCAGACGUGAAAUCCCUCAGCUUAACUGGGGAACUGCGUCUGAUACUGGAUGGCUUGAGUUUGGGAGAGGGAUGCGGAAUUCCAGGUGUAGCGGUGAAAUGCGUAGAUAUUGGGAAGAACACCAGUGGCGAAGGCGGCUAUCUGGACGGUUUCUGACGCUAAGACGCGAAAGCGUGGGGAGCAAACAGG
RNAcentral lists this ribosomal RNA (253 nucleotides) under uncultured bacterium. Its description in RNAcentral is "partial 16S ribosomal RNA". It matches the Rfam family "Bacterial small subunit ribosomal RNA", at positions 524 to 776 of the family's 1533-position model. The record is from RNAcentral.